RNAcentral lists this non-coding RNA (28 nucleotides) under Mus musculus (house mouse). Lineage: Eukaryota; Metazoa; Chordata; Mammalia; Rodentia; Muridae. The record is from RNAcentral.
UGAUGACAAGGCUUGGCUCUCAACCUCC